CACGUAGGCGGCUUUCUAAGUCGGGGUGAAAUCCUGGAGCUCAACUCCAGAACUGCCUUCGAUACUGGAAAGCUCGAGUCCGGGAGAGGUGAGUGGAACUGCGAGUGUAGAGGUGAAAUUCGUAGAUAUUCGCAAGAACACCAGUGGCGAAGGCGGCUCACUGGCCCGGUACUGACGCUGAGGUGCGAAAGCGUGGGAGCAAACA
Molecule: ribosomal RNA, 205 nt
Filed under: uncultured bacterium
Lineage: Bacteria
Description: partial 16S ribosomal RNA
Rfam family: Bacterial small subunit ribosomal RNA
Source: RNAcentral